RNAcentral lists this ribosomal RNA (381 nucleotides) under uncultured eukaryote. RNAcentral's name for it is "SSU rRNA". It matches the Rfam family "Eukaryotic small subunit ribosomal RNA", at positions 587 to 972 of the family's 1831-position model. The record is from RNAcentral.
AGCUCUCAAGGUGUAUAUCGCCAUUGCUGCGGUUAAAAAGCUCGUAGUUGGAUCUACGGUUUUCGGAGCUGGAUCACCCAAGUGGUGUAUUCUGGUCUCCAAGCCUCUAGUCGCUGGUCUACCCUUGAUUCCUUUAACCAGGCGUCCUGGGUGGCUAGUGAGUUUACUUUGAAAAAAUUAGAGUGCUCAAGACAGGCUUCUACGCCUGAAUAGUGGUGCAUGGAAUAAUAGAAUAGGACCUCGGUCCAUUUUAUUGGUUUUGGUCCCGAGAUAAUGGUUAAGAGGGACAGACGGGGGCAUUCGUAUCGCUGCGUGAGAGGUGAAAUUCUUGGACCGUAGCGAGACGAACUACUGCGAAAGCAUUUGCCAAGAAUGUCUUCA